GGUUUUAACCCAGUUAACCAAGGUUAGCAUGGAUUUCGACCUUUCGAAACGAGAGUGUUGAAUAAUACUGUAAUUUUUGGACACGCUUCUUCGGGGUUAUCCGUUGAGGCAAC
RNAcentral lists this small RNA (113 nucleotides) under Caenorhabditis briggsae. RNAcentral's name for it is "snRNA CBG29453". It matches the Rfam family "SL2 RNA". From Rfam's summary of the family: This family represents SL2 RNA. SL2 RNA is involved in trans splicing in lower eukaryotes. Lineage: Eukaryota; Metazoa; Nematoda; Chromadorea; Rhabditida; Rhabditidae. The record is from Rfam by way of RNAcentral.